Molecule: ribosomal RNA, 496 nt
Filed under: uncultured bacterium
Lineage: Bacteria
Description: partial 16S ribosomal RNA
Rfam family: Bacterial small subunit ribosomal RNA
Source: RNAcentral
AUGAACGCUGGCGGCGUGCCUCAUACAUGCAAGUCGAGCGAACGGACGAGAAGCUUGCUUCUCUGAUGUUAGCGGCGGACGGGUGAGUAACACGUGGAUAACCUACCUAUAAGACUGGGAUAACUUCGGGAAACCGGAGCUAAUACCGGAUAAUAUUUUGAACCGCAUGGUUCAAAAGUGAAAGACGGUCUUGCUGUCACUUAUAGAUGGAUCCGCGCUGCAUUAGCUAGUUGGUAAGGUAACGGCUUACCAAGGCAACGAUGCAUAGCCGACCUGAGAGGGUGAUCGGCCACACUGGAACUGAGACACGGUCCAGACUCCUACGGGAGGCAGCAGUAGGGAAUCUUCCGCAAUGGGCGAAAGCCUGACGGAGCAACGCCGCGUGAGUGAUGAAGGUCUUCGGAUCGUAAAACUCUGUUAUUAGGGAAGAACAUAUGUGUAAGUAACUGUGCACAGCUUGACGGUACCUAAUCAGAAAGCCACGGCUAACUACGUG